GCUCAUUAAAUCAGUUAUGGUUUAUUUGAUGGUACCUUACUACUUGGAUAACCGUAGUAAUUCUAGAGCUAAUACAUGCAGGAAGUCCCGACUUCGGAAGGGAUGUAUUUAUUAGAUAAGAAACCAACCCGGCUUGCCGGUUGCGUGCUGAGUCACAAUAACUGCUCGAAUCGCAUGGCCUUGCGCCGGCGAUGGUUCAUUCAAAUUUCUGCCCUAUCAGCUUUCGAUGGUAGGAUCGAGGCCUACCAUGGCGUUUACGGGUAACGGAGAAUUAGGGUUCGAUUCCGGAGAGGGAGCCUGAGAAAUGGCUACCACAUCCAAGGAAGGCAGCAGGCGCGUAAAUUGCCCGAAUCCUGACACAGGGAGGUAGUGACAAGAAAUAACAAUACAGGGCUAUUUUAGUCUUGUAAUUGGAAUGAGUACAAUUUACAUCUCUUCACGAGGAUCAAUUGGAGGGCAAGUCUGGUGCCAGCAGCCGCGGUAAUUCCAGCUCCAAUAGCGUAUAUUAAAGUUGUUGCAGUUAAAACGCUCGUAGUCGGAUUUCGGGGCGGGGCCGCCGGUCUGCCGAUGGGUAUGCACUGGCGGGCGCGUCCUUCCUUCCGGAGACUGGCCCUACUCUUAACUGAGCGGGGUCGGGAGUCGGAUCGUUUACUUUGAAAAAAUCAGAGUGUUUCAAGCAGGCAGCUCGCUCUUGCAUGGAUUAGCAUGGGAUAAUGAAAUAGGACUUUGGUGCUAUUUUGUUGGUUUCGAACACCGAAGUAAUGAUUAACAGGGACAGUCAG
This 782-nucleotide ribosomal RNA is filed under the name uncultured eukaryote. RNAcentral describes it as "SSU rRNA". It matches the Rfam family "Eukaryotic small subunit ribosomal RNA", at positions 96 to 885 of the family's 1831-position model. The record is from RNAcentral.